This 253-nucleotide ribosomal RNA is filed under the name uncultured bacterium. RNAcentral describes it as "partial 16S ribosomal RNA". It matches the Rfam family "Bacterial small subunit ribosomal RNA", at positions 524 to 776 of the family's 1533-position model. The record is from RNAcentral.
UACAGAGGGUGCAAGCGUUAAUCGGAAUUACUGGGCGUAAAGAGCACGUAGGUGGUUGUUUAAGUUGGAUGUGAAAUCCCCGGGCUUAACCUGGGAGGGUCAUUCAAAACUGGGCGACUAGAGUACGGUAGAGGGAAGUGGAAUUUCCGGUGUAGCGGUGAAAUGCAUAGAUAUCGGAAGGAACAUCAGUGGCGAAGGCGACUUCCUGGACUGAUACUGACACUGAGGUGCGAAAGCGUGGGGAGCAAACAGG